ACGGUCACAUCCCGUUGAAACCCCGAUUCCCGUACGAUCACCGAAGUUAAACAACGUCGAGCCUGGUCAGUAUCUAGAUGGGUGACAGCUUGGGAAUACGAGGA
Molecule: non-coding RNA, 104 nt
Organism: Acanthosepion pharaonis
Lineage: Eukaryota; Metazoa; Mollusca; Cephalopoda; Sepiida; Sepiidae
Source: the annotation of a GenBank genome assembly